RNAcentral lists this ribosomal RNA (753 nucleotides) under uncultured bacterium. RNAcentral's name for it is "bacterial SSU rRNA". It matches the Rfam family "Bacterial small subunit ribosomal RNA", at positions 96 to 869 of the family's 1533-position model. The record is from RNAcentral.
CGGCGGACGGGUGAGUAACGCGUGGGUAACCUACCCUGUACACACGGAUAACAUACCGAAAGGUAUGCUAAUACGGGAUAAUAUAUUUGAGAGGCAUCUCUUGAAUAUCAAAGGUGAGCCAGUACAGGAUGGACCCGCGUCUGAUUAGCUAGUUGGUAAGGUAACGGCUUACCAAGGCGACGAUCAGUAGCCGACCUGAGAGGGUGAUCGGCCACAUUGGAACUGAGACACGGUCCAAACUCCUACGGGAGGCAGCAGUGGGGAAUAUUGCACAAUGGGCGAAAGCCUGAUGCAGCAACGCCGCGUGAGUGAUGAAGGCCUUCGGGUCGUAAAACUCUGUCCUCAAGGAAGAUAAUGACGGUACUUGAGGAGGAAGCCCCGGCUAACUACGUGCCAGCAGCCGCGGUAAUACGUAGGGGGCUAGCGUUAUCCGGAUUUACUGGGCGUAAAGGGUGCGUAGGCGGUCUUUCAAGUCAGGAGUGAAAGGCUACGGCUCAACCGUAGUAAGCUCUUGAAACUGGGAGACUUGAGUGCAGGAGAGGAGAGUGGAAUUCCUAGUGUAGCGGUGAAAUGCGUAGAUAUUAGGAGGAACACCAGUUGCGAAGGCGGCUCUCUGGACUGUAACUGACGCUGAGGCACGAAAGCGUGGGGAGCAAACAGGAUUAGAUACCCUGGUAGUCCACGCUGUAAACGAUGAGUACUAGGUGUCGGGGGUUACCCCCUUCGGUGCCGCAGCUAACGCAUUAAGUACUC